RNAcentral lists this ribosomal RNA (327 nucleotides) under Triticum aestivum (bread wheat). RNAcentral's name for it is "partial small subunit ribosomal RNA". The record is from RNAcentral. Lineage: Eukaryota; Viridiplantae; Streptophyta; Magnoliopsida; Poales; Poaceae.
AUGGCAUCACCAAUGUCCGUCGGUCGAGGUUCACGACAUUGUAAGAUUGAAGACAGAGUUGUGUGCUAUGCUUUGUACAUUGGAGUGGCCCAUGACUACGUUGGUCAGAUUGUCCUUUGCAUAUACGUACUUCUCAAGCAGAUACGACCCAAUCAAGGGCUCCUCUUUGAUGAAAGGAGAAGGAUGAAGAAGUCAAGCUAUUGGAGAGGUCAAUUGAGGAGCUCGAAAGUACUUUAUUUGCUCUCAAAAGUAGCUUUAUUCAGUUUGAGUGAAUUUUGUGGCCUAACUGUUGUAGCUAUUCAUUUUUCCAUGCAUUCUGAAUGUUAG